Molecule: transfer RNA, 87 nt
Filed under: Burkholderiales bacterium
Lineage: Bacteria; Pseudomonadati; Pseudomonadota; Betaproteobacteria; Burkholderiales
Description: tRNA-Leu
Rfam family: tRNA
About the family: Transfer RNA (tRNA) molecules are approximately 80 nucleotides in length. Their secondary structure includes four short double-helical elements and three loops (D, anti-codon, and T loops). Further hydrogen bonds mediate the characteristic L-shaped molecular structure. tRNAs have two regions of fundamental functional importance: the anti-codon, which is responsible for specific mRNA codon recognition, and the 3' end, to which the tRNAs corresponding amino acid is attached (by aminoacyl-tRNA synthetases). tRNAs cope with the degeneracy of the genetic code in two manners: having more than one tRNA (with a specific anti-codon) for a particular amino acid; and 'wobble' base-pairing, i.e. permitting non-standard base-pairing at the 3rd anti-codon position.
Source: RNAcentral
GCCCGGAUGGCGGAAUUUAUAGACGCGUCAGGUUCAGAUGCUGGUGGUGGCAACACUGUGGAGGUCCGAGUCCUCUUCAGGGCACCA